AUGGCGGGCUCCGGCGAGCGGACGCCGCUGCUGGGCUCGGGGAGCCACGGCGCGCGGCGGGCGUCGUCGGCGUUCGCGGGCCGGCGCGCGGCGUGCGGCGCCGUGCUGCUGACGGAGCUGCUGGAGCGCGCGGCCUUCUACGGCGUCACGGCCAACCUGGUGCUGUUCCUGAACGGCGCGCCGUUCUCCUGGGAGGGCGCGCAGGCCAGCCAGGCGCUGCUGCUCUUCAUGGGCGUCACCUACCUGGUGUCGCCGUUCGGCGGCUGGCUGGCCGACGCGCUGCUCGGCAAGGCGGGCGCCAUCGUGCUCAGCCUGGCGCUCUAUCUGCUGGGCAUGCUGGCCUUCCCGCUGGUGGCCGCGCCCUCCACGCGCGCCGCGCUCUGCGGGCCCCUGCGGGCCGCGCUGCUGGAGAACUGCUCGGCGCCCGUCCGCAACGCCAGCGCCGCCUGCCACGACAGCCCCGAGCGCCGCUGCGCCGCCGCCACCUUCGCGGGGCUGGUGCUGGUGGGCCUGGGCGUGGGCACCGUCAAGGCCAACAUCACGCCCUUCGGCGCCGACCAGGUUAAAGAUCGGGGUCCAGAAGCCACUAGAAGAUUUUUUAAUUGGUUUUAUUGGAGCAUUAACUUGGGCGCAAUUGUUUCAUUGGGAGGCAUCGCGUAUAUUCAGCAGAAUGUGAGCUUCGUUGUCGGCUACAUCAUCCCCACCACGUGCAUCGGCGUGGCUUUCGUGGUCUUCUUCUGCGGCCAGAGCUUUUUCAUCACCAAACCUCCAGACGGCAGUGCUUUCACAGAUGUGUUCAAGAUACUAGCAUAUUCCUUCUGUCCACAGAAGCGGAUAGGAGAGCGCCGUAGCAAUGGUGAAGGCAUUGGCGUCUCUCAGCAAUCUUCUAAACACAGUCUGUUUGAUUCAUGUAAGAUGUCUCGAGGAGGGCCGUUUCCAGAAGAUAAAGUGGAAGACGUGAAAGCUCUUGUCAAGAUUAUCCCUGUUUUCUUGGCUUUGAUACCUUACUGGACAGUGUAUUUUCAAAUGCAGACAACAUAUGUUUUACAGAGUCUUCAUCUGAAGAUUCCAGAAAUUUCAAGUAUUACAACCACCCCUCAUACGUUCCCCGCAGCCUGGCUGACCAUGUUCGACGCCGUGCUCAUCCUCCUCCUGAUCCCGCUGAAGGAUAAGCUGGUGGACCCCGUUUUGAGAAGAAACGGCCUGCUCCCGUCGUCCUUAAAAAGGAUCGCCGUCGGGAUGUUCUUCGUCAUGUGUUCUGCCUUUGCUGCGGGAAUUCUGGAAAGCAAGCGGCUGGACCUCGUGAAGGAGAAGACCAUCAACCAGACCAUCGGGAAAGUUGUGUAUUACGCGGCCGACCUGCCUAUAUGGUGGCAGGUCCCCCAGUACGUGCUGAUUGGGAUCAGCGAGAUAUUCGCAAGUAUAGCAGGUCUGGAGUUUGCGUACUCGGCCGCCCCCAAGUCCAUGCAGAGUGCCAUCAUGGGCUUCUUCUUCUUCUUCUCCGGCGUCGGGUCCUUCGUGGGCUCCGGACUCCUGGCCCUGGUGUCCAUCAAAGCCAUCGGGUGGAUGAGCAGCCACGCAGACUUUGGUAAUAUUAACAGCUGUUACUUGAACUAUUACUUUUUUCUUCUGGCGGCUAUUCAAGGAGCUACCCUCCUGCUUUUCCUUAUUGUUUCUGUGAAAUAUGACCGUCAGCGCUCCAGAGCCAAUGGCGUGCCUGCUGGUGGGAGGGCCUGACGCUCGAGAAGUGGAAAUUUCAUUGACUGGACGGUGUGUGGACACCUGACGGCUGAGUGCACUGAGGACAGGCCGGCUUCGUGUGCCGGGAAAUGUCUGACUGUGUGAACACUUGCAUGUUACUGAAUUAAUUUCUCCUUCUACCCCAAUAAACUAGGUUCUUUGCAGUGCUGGGCCGCAUGCGUAGUUGUCAACCAGAGUGAAAACAGCUAUGCAAUGGGAGUUACAUCACCAGUUUUCCAACCUGCGCCAACCGUCUGGGCCCUGGUAAGUUCACCUCGCGGUGUUUCUUGCCAAACAUCUGGAAGAGUUCACCACCCACUGGGGGCCUUCUUUUUUGUAAGGACUGGAUGAACAAGAGGACAUUAACCAGCCACCAGGGCCCGGAACGGACCAGAAGGUCAAGGCAGGGCUGGCCCUUAGAAAUGGAGCCACAUGGGCCUUCACUUCUGGUGGUCUCUUAAAGCUAACUGUGUUUCUUGGGAGCAGGCACUAGGCCCUGAGUUUUUUUUCUGUUUAACCAAAACCAAACCCAGUGCGGUUAAGUUGAUUUCAAUUCAUAGCGACCCUAUAGGACAGAGUAGAACUGCCCCAUAGAGUUUCCAAGGAGUGCCUGGCGGAUUCAAACUGCCGACCCUUUGGUUAGCAGCUGUAGCACUUAACCACUAUGCCACCAGGGUUUCCAUUGGAGGGCUAUAAGUCACAUCAGGGUUGCAAGCCAAAUACGGCCCUUCCAAGGUGUCCCUGUCCUAAUCCCUGAGACACAUGACUUUACACGGUUAAAGGGGGCUUUGAGAUGUGAUUCAGUAAGGCUCUUCAGAUGGGGACAUUCUCUUGAUUAUCUGGGCGGGUGGGUCCCUUGUAGUCACAGGGUCCUUGUAACUGAAAGACGGAGGCAGGAGAGUCAGUCAGAGAAGGGUGUGUAACCGAGGAAGCAGGGUGAUGCCCUCGGUAGUGGGGGUCACUAGCCACGGAGUGUGCUGGCCUCUAGAAGCUGGGACAGGCAAGGAAUGGGCCCUGCCCUAGAGUUUCCAGAAGGACCCAGCCCUGCUGACAUCUUGACUUCAGCCCAUCAAGGCCCACUUCAGAUUUCAGCCCUCCAGGCCUGUAAGAGAAUGAAUUUGGGUUGUGUGCAGCCGGUAUGUCUGUGGUAAUAAAGGAUAUGUAGUGAGACUCCUCAGCUGCGCUCAUGUGAUUUGUAAUGUUUCCUGAAGCAUGAGAAACAAGUGACUAUCCGUCAUGGAUUGAAUUGUAUCCCCCCAAAACAUGGGUCAACUUGGUUAGGCCAUGAUUCCCAGUAUUGUGUGGUUGUCCUCCAUUUUGUGAUUUUAAGUUUAUGUUAGAGAGGAUUAGGGUGGGAUGUCAUAUCCCUGAUCCAAUGUAAAGGGAGUUUCCCUGGAGUGUGGCUUACACCACUUUUUAUCUUACAAGAGAUAAAGGGAAACAAGGAGAGAGUUGGGUGGGGAACUCAUACCACCAAGAAAGCAUCACCGGGAGCAGAGCACGUCCUUGGAUCUGAGGUUCCUGUGCUGAGAUGCUCCCAGACCAAGGGAAGACAGAUCCAUCACAAGGACCUUCCUCCAGAGCUGACAGAGAGAGAAAGGCUUCCUCUGGAGGUGAUACCCUGAAUUUGGACUUCUAGGCUACUGGACUAUGAGAGAAUAAAUUCAUCUUUGUUAAAGCCAUCCAUUUGUGGUCUUUCUGUUAUAGCAGCACUAGGCGACUGAGACGCUAUCCCACCACAACUCUCAGAAAACUCAGCAUUCGUUCCAGAACUUUCCAAGUUUGGGAAACAUGGGGCCUCUCUUGACUUAAACAUUCCUCCAUUGUUGAGAUGGCAAAGGGAUCCUGUAUCUCAGAGCCAAGACUAAGGGACUUCAAAAAACUCCAUAAUCAAGUUAAGUAUUAUUUUAAUACAGUGUUUCUAAAGGUCAAGAUUAAUGCAAAUAUUACUGAAAAAGAAGAGCAAAGUGGGAGCCCUGACUCCAACUCUGCCUGAUUUUAGAAUCUAUUAUACCUCCACAGUAGUCAGAACAGCCUGGUACUGGUAUGACAACAGAUACAUAGACCAAUGGAACAGAAUUGAGAAUCCAGAGAUAAAUCCGUCCACAUAUGAGCAGCUGAUAUUUAUUUGACAAAGGCCCAAAGUCAGUUAAAUGGGGAAAAGACGGUCUGUUUAACAAAUGGUGCUGGCAUAACUGGAUAUCCAUCUGCAAAAAAAUGCAGCAAGACCCAUACCUCACACCAUGCACAAAAGCUAACUCAAAAUGAAUCAAAGACCUAAAUAUAAAAUCUAAAACGAUAAAGAUCAUGGAAGACGAGAUAGGGACAAUGCUAGGAGCCCUAAUACAUGGCAUAAACAGAAUAUAAAACAAUACUAACAAUGCAGAAGAGAAACUAGACAAGUGAGAGCUCCUAAAAAUCAAACACUUAUGCUCAUCCAAAGACAUCACCAAAAGAAUAGACUACCUACAGACUAGGAAAAAAAUUUGGCUACGACAAAUCUGAUCAGUAUCUAAUCUCUAAAAUCUACAAGAUACUGUAUAACCUUAACAACAAAAAGACAGAUAACCCAAUUUAAAAAAUGGGCAAAGGAUAUGAACAGGCAUUUCACCGAAGAAGAUAUUCAGGCGGCUAAUAGAUAUAUGAGGAAAUGCUCACUAUUAGAGAAAUGCAAAUCAAAACUACAAUGAGAUACCAUCUCACCCCAACAAGGCUGGCAUUAAUCUAAAAAACACAAAAUAAUAAAUGUUGGAGAGGUUGUGAAGAGACUGGAACACUUACACACUGCUGGUGGGAAUAUCAAAUGGUACAAUCACUUUUGGAAAUUAAUCUGUUGCUUCCUUAGAAAGCUAGAAAUAGAACUACCAUGCGAUCCAGCAAUCCCACCCCUUAGAAUAUAUUCUAGAGAAAUAAGACCCUUCACAUGAAUAGAUACAUGCACACCCAUGUUCAUUGCAGCACUGUUAACAAUAGCAGAAAGAUGGAAACAACCAAGGUGCCCAUCAAUGGAUGAAUGGACAAACCAAUUAUGGUGUAUUCACACAGUGGAGUACUACCCAGCUAUAAAGAACAAUGAUGAAUCCAUGAAACAUAACAUGGGGGAAUCUGGAAGGCAUUAUGCUGAGUGAAAUUAGUCAUAAAAGGACAAAUAUUGUAUGAGACCACUAUUAUAAGAACUGAAAGAAAGUUUUAAACAUAGAAGAAAACAUUCUUUGAUGGUUAUGAGGCAGGGAGGGAGAGGGGUAUUCGCUAACUAGGUUGUAGACAAGGAUUAUUUUAGGUGAAGGGAAGAACAACACACAAUACAGGGGAAGUCAGCACAACUGGACUAAUGAAAAAGCAAAGAAGUUUCCUGAGUACAACCGAACGCUUCAAAGGCCAGAGUAGCAGGGAUGGGGGUUCGGGGACCAUGGUUUCAGAGGACAUCUAUGUCAAUUGGCAUAACAAAAUGUACUAAGAAAAUGUUCUGUAUCCCACUUUGGUGAGAGGCGUCUGGGAUCUUAAACACUGACAAGCAGCCAUCUAAGAUGCAGUAAUUGGUCUCAACCCUCCUGGAUCAAAGGAAAAUGAAGAACGCCCAGGACACAAAGUAAUUACGAGCCCAAGAGACAGAAAAGGCCACAUAAACCAGAUACUCCAUCAGCCUGAGACCAGAAGAACUAGGUGGUGUCUAGUUCCUCCCCCUGCCCCGACAGGGAACACGACAGAGAAUCCCUGAUGGAGCAGGAGAAAAGUGGGAUGCAGACCUCAAAUUCUCGUAAAAAGACCAGACUUAAACUGAGACUAGAGGUACCCUGGAGGUCGUGGUCCCUGGACCCUUUGUCAGCCCAAAACUGGAACCAUUCCUGAAGCCAGCUCCUUAGGGAUUGGACUGGACUAUAAGAUAGAAGAUGAUACUGGUGAGGAGUUAGCUUCUUGGCUCAAGCUGACACCUGAGACUAUGUGGGCAGCUCCUGUCUGGAGGCGAGACGAGAAGGCAGAGGGGGACAGGAGCUGGCUGAAUGGACACGGGGAAUGCAGGGUAGAGAGGAGGAGUGUGCUGGCUCAUUAGGGGGAGAGCAGCUAGGAGUACAUAGCAAGGUGUGUAUAAGAUUUUGUAUGAGACUGACAUGAUUUGUAACCUUUCACUUAAAGCACAAUAAAAAAAAUGCGAAAACCAUGAUGAACAAAAUAUCAGCACUUCAAUUAGAGACAGCAUCCAGCUCUGCCCUGUGCAGCCUGGUCUCACCCCUGGCCCUAACCCAGCCCCGCUACCCACGGCCACUCUACUUCUCAGUACAAGGGCUUGUUUACCUCUAGACUGUAGCAUACCUGAAGCCCUGGUGGCACAGUGGUUAGGUGAUAAUGUCUACUAACCAAAAGGUCAGCAGUUCAAAUCCACCAGCCACUCCUUGGAAACCCUAUGGAGUAGUUCUACUUUGUCCUAUGGCAUUGCUGUGGGUUGGAAUUGACAAUGGGUUUGGUUUCUGGUAGCAUACUUGGCACUCCUCACAAGCCGAGCAAACCCUUUGACCACCUCAACUACUUAUUGCAAAUGACAGUUUAUCUGAAGCCACCACAAUGAGCCAGACUCACAACUUCACGCCCGUGUGUCCUUUGUCUUUACUAGAGCUGAAAAGGAAUGGAUACAUCAGAGCUGAUCACAAAAGUGUCUCCAUGGAUUACACCUGGCAUUUUAAAACUUAAACCCCAAUCGAGCUAGGCAGACCCAGAGGACUUCUUGCUUACUGCUCUUCAGGGCUGAGAUAUUUCAAAGACAUCAACCAAAUGGCACAGCUCAGCAAUCUUCUAAUGUUCUGGACACGUUCCGUUCAAAUCGGCACUCACGCGAGCUGUAACACCACGGGAAACAAGGCCACACGCAGCCUAUUGAUGAGUGUGCACAGAGGUGACAUUCAUUCAUUCACUCAUCGAAUAUCACUUGUUCACUGAACAUAGCCAUUGGGCAUCUAGGGGGUGCUGGCUUGAUUUCAGACUUGGGGAUGCAGAGGUGAACAAGAGCCUCUGCUCUCCUGGAGCUUACUUUUUUUAAAAUAACUUAUUUAAUCACUUAUUUUUUGUUGUUGAGAUACACACAGUGGAACAUACACCAGCCCAAGUUUCUGCAAGUACCAUUCAGCAACAUUGAUGACAUUCUUUGAGUUGUGCAGCCAUUCUCACCCUCCUUUUCUGAGUUCUUCCUCCGCCAUUAACAUAAACUCACUGCCCCCUAAGUUUCCUAUCUAAUCUCUUAAGUUGUUGUCAGUUUGAUCCCAUAAGUGGUUGUUGUUAGGUGCCACUGAGUCAAUUCCAGCUCAGGGUGACCCUGUGUACAAGAGAACGAAACACUGUCCAGUCCUUUGCCAUCCUCACAGUCGUUGCUAUGCUUGAGCCCAUUGUUGCAGCCACUGUACAAAUCCAUCUUGUUGAGGGUCUUCCUCUUUUUCACUGACCCUCUACUUCGCCAAGCAUGAUGUCCUCCUCCAGGGACCGGUCUCUCCUCACAACCUGUCCAAAGUACAUGAGACAAAGUCUCACCAUCCUUGCUUCUAAGGAGCAUUCUGCUCUCUAAAAUAUGAAGGCGAAAUUAAAACAUUUACAGAUAAACACAAGCUUAGAGAAUUUGCAAAAACCAAACCAAAGCUACAAGAAAUACUAAAGGAAAUUGGUCAGAAAAUCAAUAAUAUCCGAUACCAGCACAACACAAGGUCACAGAGCAGAACAUCCUGAUAUCAACUCAAAUAGGGAAAUCACAAAAACAAAUUAAGAUUAAUUUUAAAAAGAAAAAAAUGCUCAAAACAGGGAAUCGUUGAAGUCAAUAUGUAAAAGAUCACAAUAAUCAAAAAGAGGGACUAAAUACAGGUGGCAUAGAACUGCCAUAUGGAGAGGAAAACAAGGCGACAUAGGACAAGUUAGGUUUUUACUUAGAAAAAUAGGGGUAAAUAUUAAGGUAACCACAAAGAGGUAUAACAACUCCGUAACUCAAAAUAAAAACCAAGAAAAACAUAACAACUCAGCAAACAUAAAGUCAAAUACUAUGAAAAUGAGGAACACACAAUUUACAAAGAAAAACGUCUCACCACAAAAAAGUGGAAAAAUGAAAUUGUCAACAACACACAUAAAUAAAAAGGCAUCAAAAUGACAACACUAAACACACACUUAUCUAUAAUCACGCUGAAUGUAAAUGGACUAAAAGCACCAAUAAAGAGACAGAGUCUCAGACUGGAUAAAGAAACACGAUCCGUCUAUAUGCUGCCUACAAGAGACACACCUUAGAGACACAAACAAAAACUCAAAGGAUGGAAAAAAAUGUAUCAAGCAAACAAUAAGCAAAAAAGAAGAGGAGUAGCAAUAUUAAUUUCAGACAAAAUAGACUUUAAAGUUAAAUCCACCACAAAGAAUAAAGAAGGACAGUACAUAAUGAUAAAAGGGACAAUUGACCAGGAAGAUAUAACCAUAUUAAAUAAUUAUGCACCCAAUGACAGGGCUGUAAGAUAUAUAAAACAAAUUUUAACAGAACUGAAAAGUGAGGUAGACACCUCCACAAUUACAGUAGGAGACUUCAACACAUCACUUUCGGAGAAGGACAGGACAUCCAGUAAGAAGCUCAGUAGAGACACGGAAGACCUAAUUACUACAAUCAACCAACUUGACCUCAUUGACUUAUACUAAACACUCCACCCAACUGCUGCAAAAUAUACUUUUUUUUCUAGCACACAUGGAACAUUCUCUAGAAUAGACCACAUAUUAGGUCAUAAAACAAAUCUUUGCAGAAUCCAAAACAUAGAAAUAUUACAAAGCAUCUUCUCAGACCACAAGGCCAUAAAAGUGGAAAUCAAUAACAGAAAAAUUAGGGAAAAGAAAUCCAAUACUUGGAAACUGAACAAUACCCUGCUGAAAAAAGACUCGGUUAUAGAAGACAUCAAGGAGGGAAUAAGGAAAUUCAUAGAAUGCAACGAGAAUAAAAAUACUUCCAUCAAAACCUCUGGGACACAGCAAAAGCAGUGCUCAGAGGCUAAUUUAUAUCAAUAAAUGCACACAUCCAAAAGAAGAGCCAAAAUCAGAGAACUGUCCCUACAACUUGAACAAAUAGAAAGUGAGCAACAAAAGAAUCCAUCAGGCAC
Molecule: RNA transcript, 8843 nt
Organism: Loxodonta africana (African savanna elephant)
Lineage: Eukaryota; Metazoa; Chordata; Mammalia; Proboscidea; Elephantidae
Gene: SLC15A4
Gene name: solute carrier family 15 member 4
Exons: 9
Source: RefSeq, a predicted model, not a curated record